This 883-nucleotide ribosomal RNA is filed under the name uncultured Phaeobacter sp. RNAcentral's name for it is "bacterial SSU rRNA". It matches the Rfam family "Bacterial small subunit ribosomal RNA", at positions 597 to 1499 of the family's 1533-position model. The record is from RNAcentral. Lineage: Bacteria; Pseudomonadati; Pseudomonadota; Alphaproteobacteria; Rhodobacterales; Roseobacteraceae.
AANUCCCAGGGCUCAACCCUGGAACUGCCUUAUAAACUCCUGGUCUUGAGUUCGAGAGAGGUAAGUGGAAUUCCGAGUGUAGAGGUGAAAUUCGUAGAUAUUCGGAGGAACACCAGUGGCGAAGGCGGCUUACUGGCUCGAUACUGACGCUGAGGUGCGAAAGUGUGGGGAGCAAACAGGAUUAGAUACCCUGGUAGUCCACACCGUAAACGAUGAAUGCCAGACGUCAGCAAGCAUGCUUGUUGGUGUCACACCUAACGGAUUAAGCAUUCCGCCUGGGGAGUACGGUCGCAAGAUUAAAACUCAAAGGAAUUGACGGGGCCCGCACAAGCGGUGGAGCAUGUGGUUUAAUUCGAAGCAACGCGCAGAACCUUACCAACCCUUGACAUCCUUGGCCCGCCAGAGAGAUCUGGUUUUCUCGCAAGAGACCAAGUGACAGGUGCUGCAUGGCUGUCGUCAGCUCGUGUCGUGAGAUGUUCGGUUAAGUCCGGCAACGAGCGCAACCUACAUCCUUAGUUGCCAGCAGUUCGGCUGGGCACUCUAGGGAAACUGCCCGUGAUAAGCGGGAGGAAGGUGUAGAUGACGUCAAGUCCUCAUGGCCCUUACGGGUUGGGCUACACACGUGCUACAAUGGCAUCUACAGUGAGUUAAUCUCCAAAAGAUGUCUCAGUUCGGAUUGGGGUCUGCAACUCGACCCCAUGAAGUCGGAAUCGCUAGUAAUCGCGUAACAGCAUGACGCGGUGAAUACGUUCCCGGGCCUUGUACACACCGCCCGUCACACCAUGGGAGUUGGAUCUACCCGAAGGCCGUGCGCCAACCUUUUCGGAGGGGGCAGCGGACCACGGUGGGUUCAGCGACUGGGGUGAAGUCGUAANCAAGGUAA